Molecule: long non-coding RNA, 555 nt
Filed under: Ananas comosus (pineapple)
Lineage: Eukaryota; Viridiplantae; Streptophyta; Magnoliopsida; Poales; Bromeliaceae
Description: long non-coding RNA (ACOM_LNC021027)
Source: RNAcentral
UACCGAAUUUUAAUAUAAAAGUAAAACAAAUAAAAAAAAUAGUAUGAGAUACUAUUUUUAUUGGAUUUAGAGAAGUGAAAUAUAAGUCUGGAAUGACUCGUGCUGAAAUCGGAAUGAAAACAGAAAAUUUAAAAUUUUCUGUGCGAAACGGGACUAAUAUUUUAGCAGAAAAUGCACAGUGUAAGAUGUAACAUACCAGAUUUUGGUAUAAAAAUAAAAAUAAAUAAAAAUAGUGUGAGAUACUAUUUUUAUUGGAUUUAUAGAAGUAAAACAUAAGUCAGAAAUGACUUGUACUGAAAUCGGAAUGAAAUCAGAAUAUCUAGAAUUUUCUGUUGAAAACGGGACAGAUAAAUUAGCAGAAAAUGCACAGUCUCAGAAAAUUAUGAAAUUGGAGAAUAAGUCAGAAAUAUUUUUAUGAGGUUAGAUUUAAAGUUUCAUAUUUUUCUGACACCCGUAGAGUGAGAAAUAAAAUCCGACAGCUAUCUGAUAAAGAUUACAGUUCGGUACAGUUUGUAGUGACCAAACGAGGUCGAAACGGAAAACUUAAGAUAUAUU